Heterocephalus glaber (naked mole-rat) is the source of this 1179-nucleotide long non-coding RNA. NCBI's taxonomy places the organism in Eukaryota, Metazoa, Chordata, Mammalia, Rodentia, Bathyergidae. The record is from Ensembl.
AUUUUAUAGUAAAGAAAUUAAACUUUCCAUCUAGAAGUGGAACAAGAUAAGUUUACCCCCCCGUCCAGAAUCUAUCAGACAUUACAGAAGAAUUCUAGCUGACACACAGACCAAACAUCAGAACCACAAAGUCACAACUUUGGAUCCCCAGUGAAAUAAAUGAUUUGGGCAAAAAUUCCUAACAGCUAUGGAGAAAGCUUGAGCAGGACCUUUAUAAUGGAGGAGCCAAGCUGACAAUACCGAUGCCUCCAUCAGUAUUUCUUUUCUUUGUCUUUAAAGAAAGAAAGCAUCUCUAUUUGGAGACUCUUGUUCUUCAUCUUAUUGAUACACAUUCCUUCCACAUAGUCAUGGGGCUCCAUAGAAGUUGACACAGCACUGGAGCAUCCACCUCGCCCUCUGCACGCUCCACCCAACACACGUCCUGACAGCCACGGCGCCUGGCCUCCUGUGUCCUGCUCCUUUCCCCUGGCAUGUGCUCUCCGGCCCCAUCCACGUUGCUGCAAAUGACAGGAUUUCAUCCUUCAGUAAAAUGUUUGUCAACCCCUGUUGUGGAUGAAGCCCGUAAUAAAGGUCAAGAUUUUACAUUUCCUAAGGAAUAGAUAAGAUCAGAAACGGGGUGCCUGGGCUGGGCACGUCUUCGGAGGCUGCAGGCAGGCUGCGUCUGAAACCCUCCUGGAGCUGAGUACCCCGUCCUGCCUGCCUCACGUCCUUUGCUGGCUGGGGGUCAGAGGCACAGCUCCCCCCUGCAGGGGCCGUCCGGACAACCUGACAACCCGCUUCAACUAACGUCAGAAGUGCAAAGGAGCGAGAAGCCAAAGCCAUGGGCGUUUACACCCUCGCUUGCCGAGCAACAGCUCAUAUUGGAGUCUCUAAUUCACAGACCGAACCUCAGGCAGUGUCAGGACAGCAAGGGUCCCUGCAGCCUCCUGAGUGACCUGCAGGUUUCCCGUCCCUGCAGACACUGACCAUGGUGUCCACUCCACAGUGGAGUCUUCCUGCAUUUUUGCUUAAAUAAGUAAAUGUAGAACUAUGAGCGGGGCAGGCAGUGGUGGCAAUCGUGUGCAGUCCAGAUGCUAGGUGGGUGCUCGCUCCCUUAGACGCCGACUUGCGCAAAAGGGGAGAGGCCACAAGGGAAGAAAGUCUGAGCUCCUGGCCUUCCAGAACCCACUCUGCAACCAG